ACUUUCACGUCACGGAUUGAGUGACGUCACAGCGGUUCCAACGAGAUGCCAAUCCGCCAAAUCACCGACAGUCGUUUUCCACCUUCCCGCAGUCACGCACGCUGCUGCUCCAUUUUGGAUACUUUGCUGGACGUGCUGCACUGGUGGUGUGACGUUGAGGGAAGUGCCUCUUUGUAUCCCUGCCCAGCACUUUAUUGAAGACCUGAAGAUGCUCCAGAUUUUCAAGAAGGGAGUGGCACACACACUUUGCUGCACUCCAAGCUUUUGGAGGUCCAGCGGCACAUUGCACACUGCUUUCAUAAACGUGUGCAGAGUUCAAGACAGGGUGGCAAGAAUGGAGGAUGCUUCAACAUUCACAACAUCAUUGGUUCAUGCUUUCUUUUUCCUGUGGAAAGUAGUGCACACAGUUUUAAUCAAGAAUUAUAUGUUAUAAUUUAUAUUUAUAGAUUUCAUGAAAAUAUUGUGUUGACCUUUGUGCAUCAAACCAUUUCAUUACAUGUAAGUGUAUAUUUAGCUGCAAGGAAUAACAGUUUAUGAGAUUUGUAAUGUAUAAAAAGUGACUUAUAAGAGAUCUUGCAUUAUGAAGAUUUGUUUAAAGGACUUUAUUUAUAAACAUGAUCUAGUUGUGUCAGUCUUAACAGACCAGAUUGUACAGAGAUGAACCAUUGUCCUUUGCAUUUCCUGCAGAUGGAAUGUCAGUCAACACUGCAGGGUGUGUGCGUGUAUUUACCUAGUUGUAUUGUAUAGGGUUCGAGCAGGGCUCAUAGUGUCCUGUCUCCAUGUCUCCAUUUAUCCAAUUUUUCCUUAAAGUUAUGCACAUUAUGUGCUGUAACAACUUCAUUAUUCAAUUUUCCAAUGUUCUAUGUGGAAAAUUGUAUUUUCCUGUAUCCUUCAGACACUGUGUGUGUGUGUGUGUGUGUGUGUGUGUGUGUGUGUGUGUGUGUGUGUGUGUGUGUGUGUAUUUACCUAAUUGUAUUUACCUAAUUGUAACAUACGGGAAAAGAGCUAUG
Molecule: unclassified non-coding RNA, 1010 nt
Filed under: Portunus trituberculatus (swimming crab)
Lineage: Eukaryota; Metazoa; Arthropoda; Malacostraca; Decapoda; Portunidae
Description: uncharacterized LOC123514864, transcript variant X3
Source: RNAcentral